This 255-nucleotide long non-coding RNA is filed under the name Mytilus galloprovincialis (Mediterranean mussel). The record is from RNAcentral. Lineage: Eukaryota; Metazoa; Mollusca; Bivalvia; Mytilida; Mytilidae.
UGUAGUUUUAAGAUGCAAUAAACUAGCAUUUCUCUACUUGUAAGGGGAGAUAACUUGUUUUAAAUUACAUCUUUAAAGGCCUAAUAUGUGUGGACUAGUUAUACGAGUCUCAGGAAAGGACUAAUUUUCUACCUGUUAUUCUAUAUGUUGAAUAUUUGACUGUAUCAUGUUGUAGUACAUGAUUAUAUUGUUCACCAGAUAUUUUGAUGUUGAAAUUUUGACUUCAUAUAAUUACAUGAUUAUAAUGUACACCUG